RNAcentral lists this microRNA precursor (211 nucleotides) under Oryza glumipatula. Its description in RNAcentral is "MIR812 microRNA precursor family". It matches the Rfam family "MIR812 microRNA precursor family". The record is from Rfam by way of RNAcentral. Lineage: Eukaryota; Viridiplantae; Streptophyta; Magnoliopsida; Poales; Poaceae.
AAAAAAAACAAACCCUGGUUUCCGUGCUCAAUGUUUGACCGUUCGUCUUAUUUGAAAAAGUUAUGAAAAAAAUAAAAAGACAAGUCACGCAUAAAAUAUUAAUCAUGUUUUAUCAUCUAACAACAAUGAAAAUACGAAUUAUAAAAAAAUUUCAUAUAAGACGGACAAUCAAAGUUGGACACGGACACGGAAACGCAUGGUUUGCCUUUUU